GAUUAUGGCUCAGGAUGAACGCUAGCGACAGGCUUAACACAUGCAAGUCGAGGGGCAGCAUAAAAGUAGCAAUACUUGGUGGCGACCGGCGCACGGGUGAGUAACGCGUAUGCAACCUACCUAUCAGAGGGGAAUAACCCGGCGAAAGUCGGACUAAUACCGCAUAAAACAGGGGCACCGCAUGGUGAUAUUUGUUAAAGAAAUUCGCUGAUAGAUGGGCAUGCGUUCCAUUAGGUAGUUGGUGAGGUAACGGCUCACCAAGCCGACGAUGGAUAGGGGAACUGAGAGGUUGGUCCCCCACACUGGUACUGAGACACGGACCAGACUCCUACGGGAGGCAGCAGUGAGGAAUAUUGGUCAAUGGGCGGGAGCCUGAACCAAGCCAAGUCGCGUGAAGGAAGAAGGAUCUAUGGUUCGUAAACUUCUUUUGAAGGGGAAUAAAGUACGGUACGUGUACCGUUUUGUAUGUACCCUUCGAAUAAGGAUCGGCUAACUCCGUGCCAGCAGCCGC
Molecule: ribosomal RNA, 511 nt
Filed under: uncultured bacterium
Lineage: Bacteria
Description: bacterial SSU rRNA
Rfam family: Bacterial small subunit ribosomal RNA
Source: RNAcentral